This 497-nucleotide ribosomal RNA is filed under the name uncultured bacterium. RNAcentral describes it as "partial 16S ribosomal RNA". It matches the Rfam family "Bacterial small subunit ribosomal RNA", at positions 28 to 507 of the family's 1533-position model. The record is from RNAcentral.
GACGAACGCUGGCGGCGUGCCUAAUACAUGCAAGUAGAACGCUGAAGAGAGGAGCUUGCUCUUCUUGGAUGAGUUGCGAACGGGUGAGUAACGCGUAGGUAACCUGCCUUGUAGCGGGGGAUAACUAUUGGAAACGAUAGCUAAUACCGCAUAACAAUGGAUGACCCAUGUCAUUUAUUUGAAAGGGGCAAAUGCUCCACUACAAGAUGGACCUGCGUUGUAUUAGCUAGUAGGUGAGGUAACGGCUCACCUAGGCGACGAUACAUAGCCGACCUGAGAGGGUGAUCGGCCACACUGGGACUGAGACACGGCCCAGACUCCUACGGGAGGCAGCAGUAGGGAAUCUUCGGCAAUGGGGGCAACCCUGACCGAGCAACGCCGCGUGAGUGAAGAAGGUUUUCGGAUCGUAAAGCUCUGUUGUGAGUCAAGAACGAGUGUGAGAGUGGAAAGUUCACACUGUGACGGUAGCUUACCAGAAAGGGACGGCUAACUACGUG